UACGGAGGGUGCAAGCGUUAUCCGGAUUCACUGGGUUUAAAGGGUGCGUAGGCGGAUUAGUAAGUCAGAGGUGAAAGCCCCGGGCUCAACCUGGGAAUUGCCUUUGAUACUGUUAAUCUUGAGUACAGUUGAGGUGGGCGGAAUGUGACGUGUAGCGGUGAAAUGCUUAGAUAUGUCACAGAACACCGAUUGCGAAGGCAGCUCACUAAACUGUUACUGACGCUGAGGCACGAAAGCGUGGGGAGCAAACAGG
RNAcentral lists this unclassified non-coding RNA (253 nucleotides) under Thermoleophilia bacterium. RNAcentral describes it as "partial 16S ribosomal RNA". It matches the Rfam family "Bacterial small subunit ribosomal RNA", at positions 524 to 776 of the family's 1533-position model. Lineage: Bacteria; Bacillati; Actinomycetota; Thermoleophilia. RNAcentral also lists the same sequence under 1 other name. The record is from RNAcentral.